UACGUAGGGUGCAAGCGUUGUCCGGAAUUAUUGGGCGUAAAGAGCUCGUAGGCGGUCUGUCACGUCGGCUGUGAAAACCCGGGGCUCAACCCAGGGCCUGCAGUCGAUACGGGCAGACUAGAGUGCGGUAGGGGAGACUGGAAUUCCUGGUGUAGCGGUGAAAUGCGCAGAUAUCAGGAGGAACACCGGUGGCGAAGGCGGGUCUCUGGGCCGUAACUGACGCUGAGGAGCGAAAGCGUGGGGAGCGAACAGG
This 253-nucleotide ribosomal RNA is filed under the name uncultured bacterium. RNAcentral's name for it is "partial 16S ribosomal RNA". It matches the Rfam family "Bacterial small subunit ribosomal RNA", at positions 524 to 776 of the family's 1533-position model. The record is from RNAcentral.